Lepisosteus oculatus (spotted gar) is the source of this 1976-nucleotide long non-coding RNA. NCBI's taxonomy places the organism in Eukaryota, Metazoa, Chordata, Actinopteri, Semionotiformes, Lepisosteidae. The record is from Ensembl.
CCCUGCGGCCCGCCCGCCGGCGCCACGAGGACUCCUGCUCCACCUGCUCCUCCUCCUCCGACUCCGAGGAAGAGGGCUUCUUCCUGGGGCAGCCCAUCCCCCUGCCCCCCCAGCUGCGGGACGCCCAGGCCCGCCGCGGCUCCGCGGCCUCCGGGGACCGGGAUCGGGAUCGGGACCGGGAUCGGGACCGGGACCGGGAUCGGGAGGGGGAGGGGGACAGGGGGGGCAGCCUGCGCUCCAGCCUGAGGAGGAGGGGGAGGGCGAACAGCCUGAGCCAGGACAAGGACAAGAGCUGUGUGGUGUCCUAACCACCCCCCCCCCACCACCUGCACCGCGGGGAAGAGUCUCAGCCCGACCGGUCGCCCGCCGGAACGCCAGGAAAGCUUCCGGAUGAAAAAACGGGAGCGAACGGAUGCCUUGUUCCACACUCCCACCACCCUUUGUGUAAAGAGGUGCCUCCUGGUUGCCACCUUCGAGCGCGACCACCUGGGCAGCUGGUUCCCUGACUCCCAGCGGAGCUCGAAAUGGCCGUUUCCGUUCCGAUCUCUGUGGGGUUUCCUGUUGGUGUGUCACACCCUGCUGCUCCCCGGCCUGUGCUGUGAAUCAGACUGGGGACAGAGGCGUCGGCCCUGAGCAAGGACAGGAUUCUCCACGGCGCAGUCGGCAUCCUGGGCCUCUGGAAGGACUGAGCAGCAUUUCCAUUCCUCCUCCGAGCGCUUGGAGCCGCUGGCAAUUCAGGGACACCAUCUACAGACACAGUGUACCCCAGAGCAGGGAUUCUUUUUGUCUUCGUGUUGCAGAGACGGAGACAGAGGGGGAUUCAAAAAGUCAAAUCUGACCUCGAACCCACCAGGACCAGGACUGGACACCACUGCAGACACACUGACCGGCCCUGCAGGCCCAGGACUGGACACCACUGCAGACACACUGACCGGCCCUGAGGUACUGGACACCACUGCAGGCAUGCUGACCGGCCCUGCAAGACCAGGACUGGACAUCACUGCAGGCAUGCUGACCGGCCCUCCAGGACCAGGACUGGACACCACUGCAGACACUAUGAUCCAACAUGGAACACUUAUCGAUCCUCUCUCGCUGCUCGGUCGCUGUCAGUCUCUACCUAUAUAAGCGAACCCCUAUUUUUAACUCCGCUUCAGGACCGUGCUAGUGGCGUUUCAGGCGGCUGAUUCGACCUGGAGAACAGCAGUGGGUGCACUUGCGGCACGUAUCCACAAGGGGGAGACUAAACUCUUUUUCAAAAAUGUGAUAUUGGGGGAAUGGAUGAGUCGUGAAUCGCGGAGUACAGGGAAACCCCAAUCUCUGUAAUAGGGCGGUUUCACAUUCGUUAAUCGGGUGUUGCUUGAAGGAAAAGCGGCGUUUUGACGAUGCUUUGAUCGGCGCCUCUAUGACCGAGCCAGCUCGCUUCCCCGUUCAGCGUGUUCUGAGCUGAAGAAAAACGCCUUUUAUAUCGUGAGUGGAACUGUUGCUGUGUAAAUAAUGUGAAGACCAAAAUGUACAAAGUUAACGUUACAGAGAACGGAGCUCGUCAGUUCCAGUGUUAAAACUGAUUUUAUACAGUUAAAUUAUUUUAUAUAGGCCGUCGAUUCCUAUUCUUCCAGUUAUUAUUGGUGUUUUUUUGUAACCCGUGUUGUCAAGUGUUUUGUUUUAAAACGGUGCGAUACUUCAGAAAGUGGGUCACAGGUAAAGCAUUCUAGUACAGUGUGUGUGUGUCCAGAUGGCAGGAUAUUGUAUGUCUGAUUUCACUGUCUGUCUUCACGUUGAAAACAUCUUUCAUUUAAAAAAAAAAACUUUAGACCUUGCGAGAACGCUAGAGUACUAGAGGGGAUUAUGACCCACCACUUUUUUUAAAAAAAAAGUUUUGUAUUUGUCAUAUUUUUUUUCUUUUACGUUCACAAAAAAAAAUAAAAUGCUUAUCUGCUCCAGUUGUCACCUGGUGAUCUGUCUGUAUUGUACCGGAA